Long non-coding RNA from Falco peregrinus (peregrine falcon), 8520 nucleotides. RefSeq lists it as uncharacterized. The record is from RefSeq and is a predicted model, not a curated record. The transcript is spliced from 3 exons. NCBI's taxonomy places the organism in Eukaryota, Metazoa, Chordata, Aves, Falconiformes, Falconidae.
UACAUCUACUGGCUAUUUGGUGACCAACUGGGCUAUCUGUCCUCUGUCCAGGGAAAGCCACCACAUAACUUCUUUCUCCUGAAUCUUCUCUCCAGUGUUCUCCAUCCGUUUAAUCUAUUAAUGUAACAACAGUGAAGUUCAGUCUAAUCUUCUACAAUGGCUACUCAUACUCGCAGAGCUUUUACUGAUAGCAUUGUCAUGUUGGUUAUAGUAUCUUUCUAUCUCUAAAGAGUAUUUUACAGCAUUUCUUGUAUUACGUAGUGUACUCCAGCUCUGUAAGACAGAUAUGAUUAAGCCUGUGUGCUAGGCCAUUUUUCUGCUGUGGAUCGCAUGUAACAAGCAUGUGGUAAACUGCUAAACCAGCACGAGUCACAAGCAAAAUCUAAUUUAAGAGAAGAAGGGAUAAAGGAUGAAUGUUUGCAAUAGAGCUGCAACAGAGAGGAGGGGACCUCGCCAGGUCAACUCCUUGUUCUGUGAGCAAAGCAAUGCCUGCUCACCCUGCCAAGCUUGGAGGCUAUCUCUUUAAGGAAGGAUGCUUUUUCCAAAGUAGUCAUCUCUUUUUCUCUGCCUGUGCCUGUCGUUCCAGUCAAACCAUUCCUGCUCCUGAGCUCUGUUCCUGGCUUGCUGUUAUUGCACUGCUGCUGGGUGGCAGUGGCCCUCCAGGUUAGGAGUAAGGAGAGAGUCUGGAUGUAACAUUGCUUUUCUGUAACAUAUACAGGUGCCAGGUACAGAACAGAAAUUUUCAAAGGGUUUUCACCAAAACACCAGCCUUGGGACUCUCCUCAGCUCUGAUAGUUCUCCUUGUUGAAGGCUGGGUUGCUUGAGGAUGAUUGCAUGGGCGUUGAUGUAGAGAAAAGCAUCAGGAUGAGCGAAGAAUUAGUAAUAAAUUGUUCCAGGAGUGGCAAAAUUAGUGAACCCUGUUGCUUCUGGAUUAAUUUAUUUAUCUAUCCUUGCAGUAUUCCUUAGUUAGAAAUUAAUGUUUCUUCGACCCUUCCACGCAAUACCUCUAAGCCCUCUCUAUCCCCUCAUGUACACUUCCAUAUCUUCUCUCUCCCCCUGUGCCCAGCUAUGCAACUUUUUAUAUCCAUUACCUAUAUAUAUAUUAUAUUCUUUAGGUGAACAGGUCUCAUACUGCAUUGCUACUGCCUUCCGAAGUGGGGGUGCUCGUCUGAGUCCUUCCUGGCCAGAGGUGGUUCACAAAGCAGAGGUGUGAUUCCAGAUCAUGUAUGCGGAGUUUCAUCAAGGCUGCUGCUCUGCCGGCCCACGUAAAGGUCACUGGGAUCUUUAAGAAGAAGAGAAGUCAGCUCCAAAGUCACUGCUGAAAAUUAUGUCCUGGGAACAAGUGCUGGAAGCUGGUCACCGCCCGGGCUGUUGCAGGGGAUAUACAGUAGGAAGUCCUUUAAAGCACAAACACUUUACCUGUGAAAUUAAUGAUCUGGUUUAAACUAGAAAUUAAUUCCUAUGUAUCGGUUGUUCCUAUGCAUUGGUUCCCUAUUUAACUGCAAAGUUUUGCUUGCUUCUGUUCAGUCUGCAAUUGAUUUGUCUGUCUUCAUAGAGAGGAUUAUGCCAGGAACCUGCAGCUUCUGGUGUCAGAAUGGUAAUCCAUGGAGGACAAGGUCUCUUAGGUACUCAGAAUGUGUUCCAAAAAUGUCCUUAAAAUCUAAUGUCUUUCUCCCUUAGGAGCUUUAGGAAUCACCUGUUGUGAACAGGAAUAAGGUACGCAAGUGUGAACCUGUUUCACCAGCAACUGUUGCAGUAUUUGCAAUGCAUAAGUCACAGUAAGAAAACAUUAUUGAGCAUUUGGGAGAGGUGAACGUUUUUUCAAUAAUUUUCCUUAAUGACUGUGCCCUUUUCUGACUAAUGCUCUCUGGAUUUUAAUGAAAUAGCAUGGGUUUGCUAUAGGCGCUUUUCCUAGGCAGUAAACAAAAGAGCAUUGAUGGAAACAAAUUACCAGUGUGUUGACCUCAGAGGAAAAUCUCUGCAAACAGGAGGUAGGACACGGGCUGCUACUCUGCACUGUCAGAUCACUGCAGGAAGCAGAUAUGCAGAUGACGAUGUCUCAGAAAGCAUUAGAAAACAGGAGGCAGAGGUAUCCUAGAGGAUUAAGAACAAUUGUCAUAGCUAUAUCAGGGCAUACAACAUAGCUGCGAGUCUCAAGAGAGUCCAGCCUGCCUGUUGUAAAUGUGCAACAGUCAGGAAGAUGAUAGGUAGUGUAUGAACCAGACCUUGCAAUAUGUCCCUGUAGAUGUUAAUGACAAAUCAAUUCAAAUCUCUUGGGCUUCAGGACAUUUUUUCUUUUGCCUCAUUUCAAGUGGAAAAGGUAAUUCUCAUGUAAAAGUAUGUGUUCUAAAAUUUUAAUUGUUAAGUAAGUCCUGAUAGGAAACAUUUACUUGCAGUAUUUUUCUUUGUUAAUAAGGUGUCCUGCCCAGUCAAGCCUGUGAUUCUGCAGCUUAGGGCACUGGUAUCUCAACACGCUGUGCGAGACAGAUCCAUUCCCAAGGGAUCUUUCACCUGAAAAACAAAACAGUAGAGCAGAAAAAGAAAAAUUACUUACCCAAGGUCAUGAAGGUCUGCAGUAAAGCCAGGAGUGGAGUUCAGAUGUCUUAAUUCAUGGCAUAGCUUCCAGCCACAGGACAUAACAACCUCCGGUAGCAUUUACAAGUGCGGGUCUUUUAAUCUCUCAGAUGUACAGAGUUUAAUUUUUUGGGAACUUUUCUUGUAGCUGGGGCGUGGGAAGACCUGGCAUGUUGUGAGCAGUUGGUAAGAGCAGCUAAAGCACGAAGAUGGGCUCAGAUUAUUGUGACUGCUCUCUUCUUCUGGAAGCCAAUGGAAAGAUGCUGCAAACAUUUGCAUAUUGAGACAAGAUACAUGGUAUCAGCUGUGCUCUUCUAGCCGUAAGAUGGAAGUUAGAAGAUGGUAAGUUUUCCCUUUGUAGGAGCACAAGACCUCACCGAGAAUGCCACUGACGUUUUGAGCUCUGCAGGAGGUAAAGUAUAUGGCGGUGUGUAAAGGCGUUCUGGGCCGGGAGGCGUUCUGGGACUGUUUUGUGAACAAAGGGCACGAUGAGGCCCUUCUGCAAGAGGGACAAGCAAACUAACAGAGUAAAUCCCGCUGAUCAAUUCAGAUAGAAUCUAGACAUAGAUCUGGGGACACUGCAUGUUGUUUUCAUAAGGCACAAAGUGGCCAAGUCCGGAGAGGGAGUCAAGAAGUGAAGAGACUGAGAACCCGGAACCGAUGCUGGGAGGCAUGUUGUGGCCGUUGAAACGAAUGUGUGAAUGAGCUGAAAGUGCAAGGCCAGUAAAGUAAAGCCAGUAAAGCCAAACAGAGGUUAAUCCCUUGGGAAGAGUGUAGCAACAUGAGGGGAGGAAAUACCUCUUCACUGAUUCUCACAAAUGUGUCCAUGUUGUUAUAAAUUUAUACCAGCACAUCUUUCCUAUGAAAGGAAAACCAGGCUCUGUGGAAAUAAGACUACAGUUGUUAUGUGUAUGACAGUGGUGCUGGGAGGUCCUGAUUCCUGCUGAGCCUACACCAUUGCCAGAUGUGGGCAUGGAGGGGGCUGGGAAGGAUUUCAUGCCACAUGCUUGGCAAGGUCUCCAUGGGCUCAAAGAAAAGAAGUAGCUGCUUGUGAAAGGACAGGAAUGGCAAUUCAUAGUAUCCAAUUUUGGCUAAGUUUUGGCCAAAGCAGGUGCUUGAAUAAGUCUAAAGUAUCUUAGCUAGGGACCUCUGCAGCCCCUGAAAAUAACUAUUUAUCUUUCUGGGUGGUAAAUCCAUUUGUUUUCAUGCCAUUUUUUCUUUUAUUGUGCCAAUUGUUGAGGCUCCAGUAAGGAUGGGAGCACCGGGCAGGGAAUGCUGUUAACGGUUUAAAGAUUUUAAAACCAGAGUCCUGUCUUGUCUGAUCUGAAUAAUAGACCACAAGUUCCAGCCAGUGUUUCCUAUGUGAAGUCUAAAAACCUGUGGCUGAGCACCAUGCUUGGUAAUUUAGAGACUCAAUUGCUGAUAAACCCACAGUACCCAUGAGUGGUCUGCCUGGCGCUCAGUUGCACAAAGGUCAGAUUCUAUUUUCAGUGUGGAUGUGGCUGACAACUUUUUAUACAUGGCAUCUAGUUUUAGUUUUCUUUUUUUGCUCCAUUUUCUAGUCUCAGAGAUCCCUCUCUAGGCUGGUGAUUAUAGCUCAUGAACAAGGUGCCUUCCUUUGAAUAUCUUGCUAGACCGAACUCUUUCAGUUUCUCAUAAGAAUAAUGGAUCAAAGAAACUAAGGAGUGUAUGUAUAAUUAGCUGUGAGAUGACUAAACAGUAGGAGUUACAGCACGUCAGGAGGUACUAGUACUGGCCCCAGCAAGAAGGAACAAAAGUGAGUGGGCCACAUUGCUUGCACCAUGUUCCGUUUUUUUAAAUUUUAUUAUUUGUCUGUACUGGGGAAACUCUCAACUGUUCACCUUACUUCAGUUCUCGUAACUCAGCUGGUGCACUGGUUGCAAAUGGAUGAUGUUUCUGUCCUACUACAGUGAGCACUGGCAUUGUACAAGGAAUCUCUGAGGGAUGUGUAUAAGAGGUGAAGAAAUAUAGGCAGGUGGGAGUAUAAAACAUGUUGAAGUGUUUGCAUUGUGUGUGUCGUAUUUAUUUGGCACAGAACCGUACCAGGGACACCAUCCAUGUCAGCAGCAGUAAUUAGUAAUCCCUCAUAAUUCAACAGAAAGGGGGAGAGAGCUGUGACAACAAAAUGGAUUCUGGCCCAACCACCCCAUGCAACUGUUUUGUUUGAGGAUAUUUUCAAUUUAACCUUUAGGUGAAUCUCUUUUCUGUACACAGUUAUGUACGUUUUCUUUGUUGUCUGGAUUCCUCUCAUUUACAUGUCAAUGGUGUAUCUUUACAUGCCUGUUGGCCCAAUUAACCAUUGCUAUUCAUCUUCCUGCAUUUCAGUCACCUCAGGUGCCCGUAGCUAGCAUCCAAGUACAAGGAGGAAUGGGUAAAAGCACUUUAGAUAGAUCACCAGCAAAGCAGUAUGUUGCACAGAUAAAGCCAGAGCCCCUAGACCUUUGUGUUUUGAAAAUCAGAUAAGUCAAAAGAAGACAACGGGACCAUAUCUGGUAGGGACAUUUGUCUGUGUGUGAUGGCGUCUGGGGAGGCCAAACCAGAAGAUGUUUUACUUAGAGCAAGUGCUUCAGGAACAGUUCCCUUCUUGCCUGGAAAGGGAAACUGGAGCCCCUGGGCUCUUUGUGAGCUGAGCCUAGAGCCAGGGGCUGCGGCACGUGCUGGUGGCUCAUCCGUGGCAGAGCUGGCGGUGCCAGCAACCCUGCUCCAUGGGACCAGCAGCAGCUCCUUCACAUCUGCAAUAAGUAGGUUUGGCUUUGAAAUAAGCCACACUUAGGCAACAAUUUUCUCUUCUGUUUGGUGUGGUGGGGAAGCACUUUUCAGCUGCCAGGUCUGCCCCUGCUGAGGCGCCACCUGAUGAAUAAGCAAUGAGCCCUUGCACGCCUGUGUGGGAGUGAGGACUGGAAGGGUUCUAGUUUGAUCAGUGAGGCACAGCCUAGAUCCUCUUGGCCUUUCAGCCCCUCCUUUGCCCUGCGCUCAUGCCAAGGCACGGUAUGUGCUCAAGGGGCUCUGCAAAGGUGGAUGGAGUGGGAGGAGGUUGAUAGUUACAGCUGUCACUGGCUGCCAACUAGGAUUGCCUUUCUUUCCCCCCCUUCUACAUCUAUAAAGCAACUUCUGUAAGAGCAAUCACGGACUUGGAAUUUCAUUACUGUCGAUACAUUUUGUAAUAGCUCCCGACACUACUUUCUCAACUGAUAAUUUAGUUAAGCUCUCUGCUGCACAUGCACAUGCUUUGGUGUGGAGGCAGUGGAAAAUUAUUUAAUAAAACUUAACGCUGCUUUCAUUUCAUGGCUGUUAUUACUCAAUAUUAGUCAUUGCUGAGAAUCAUUCCUUGAACAGCUCUGUCUUAUCAUCUAUAUGCAUUUGGCUAUCACCUCUUUGAAAUGUAGCAGCAUCCUGGGCGGUAAAUGAAGGCAGCUUUCAUUUUAUUCAGCUGUGCAUCUUGGAAGUGGGUGUGAUCUUAACAAACAGAGUUAUUGUAAUUUCUGUGUCUUCUGUGAUAGUUCAGCAUAAAAGAUGACGUUUUAGUUGAAGUCUCAUGGAUGAACAUCAGGACUAAAAAAUUUACAAGUGAUUCUGUUACCCGUGAAGCUUGUUUCUCACCCAAAAUAUAUGUGCUUGAUUCAGUCAAAAUUAAGAAAGGUUUUUUUUCCUUUUUUUCUGUUGGGUCAGAAAUACCCUCUGCUACCUAAUAUGUAUGAAUUUAUAAAAGCUGGGAAGAAUAGACCCAGAUCUUCAAGCUCUGUAUACAAGUGUGAAUAUACAGAUACUGACUCUGGUGGUUCUUGUGCCUGUACAUAUGAAUGAAACUAUGUAUAAAUAUUCAAAAGACUUUAAAGACCAAUAAUGUUUUUAUUGUGGCUUGAAAAGUCUGAAUCAUGUUUGUUUCCUUCUUAUAUUCAUUGUGUAGUGAAGAUAUGUACUAUUGAUGUUUUUUUGGUGAAAAUGAAUGCAUUCCUUUUUCUGAUGUUCUAUUGGAAAGGACAUGCCUGUCUUGUGCAGCCAUGGUGCGCUCUCAGGGUAGAAAAACAUCGUGUUUUGCGUUAGAGUGGAGAUCUAUGAAAAUAACAAGCCUCAAACAUCAAAAUAAUUCUAGGGAGAUGUUUCGUGAUAUACCCUGCUUUGCUAUGUUUUUUUUUUUUUUCUUAUAAUCUUCCAUUCUGAAGGCUACAUUUUCCAGUCAGACAAAAUCAAAUUGCUAUAUGCUUGAUGUUGCUGUGUGUUCCACCCAAAGCGCAGCUGUCAGGCAGCACUACUUGUGUUAUUUCUGCUGUGCAGCUUGGAUAAUUUCUAAGCUGGUUGGAACCUGCUAUGGCCUGAUCUGUGUGAUGGUGCUAUCAACUGCAUCGUGCGUGGCUUUGACCGACUGGCGCAGGGCUAGGAGUGGUCAGGAGUGCUGGAACGUGUGGAGCAUCAGGAAUAUGCAUGUUCGGGUUGAGUGGGUUGGAUGGGGCCGUGCCUGCAGUCUGAUGGAUCGCAAUGUUGGUCCUGAAGAAGGAAGUGCCAUUCGCCAUUCCUUUGUAUGGUUUCAUAUUCAGGUCUUCAUGAAGGUGAAUUCCAUUUGUCCGUGCUGCGUGGGGCUUCCUAAGGAUGUGUUUAUUGGCAGUGCUCUGCCACUGCAGAAAGCCACCGAGCCUGCCUCUAUCGGAGCCUUGCGUUACGCUUUCCCUCGGAUGUGCUACCGAUGUACACGUGGAAACCCUUCUCUUGUUUUCUAUUGCGUGGGUGCCUGGAGUAAACUCUCGCGUGGGUGACUGGGGAAGGUGUUGUCUUACCUUACAGGAACUAUUGUGCAUGAAGGCGAAUGUCUUCUGUGUAAAUGAGGUGUCUCUGGGUGUUCGGUGGGCUUUCUGGGAAGGUAACAAAUGUAACUAAGAAUGAGAAGAGAUCUUCUCUUGUCAUUUCCAAGGUCAUCCCCACUCAAACUUUAUUUAAACAUGAAUUACUUUGUAAAUGAUGAAAGGUCUUCCACAGAAACAUCACUGAAUUUUCUCUGUCUGAUAGAAACUAGUUCUCUCCAGACUUUUUAUCCAAGAUGUAUUGCCAUUUCAUAAGUCAGGUGGUGAACUUGACGUUGUAAGAAAACCAAAUUUCCUGUCACUCAGUUUCAGUUAAUUUCUAUUUGGAGCAAGAUGUGUGGGAAGAAGUAAUGUAUUUUAUUGUCACAUUUAAAAAGAAGAGGCAAACUUCUGGGUGCACAAGAGUUUCUCAGGGGACAGCCUAACUGGUAGGAUAGCUGUGUCUACCUGCCAAGCUGAUUUCUUUCUUUUUUUCCCCUUGCAGCUCUUUGGAGAGCUCCAAUGCAGUUGUUUUCCUCUAGUGUGCCCAACCCUGGCUUUCACCUUGUAGAGGAAUUACAGAGGACUGUAUGAAAAGUUUAUUUGUGAAAAGGUUGUAAUGAUUGUUGAAUACAUAAGGCAAGGCACGGGAGCUACUUACUGAAAUUAACCUGAUACUGGAUGGUAAAAGCCCUGUUGCAGCCAGCUAGUUUUGAUUGUGCUGGGACAUCACCUCUUCUAUUUUAUCUCCACCCCCUUUGUGCGUCACAGAGAUGAGUUCAAUGGAAGUUACUCAAUGAAACCUUGAGAAAUUAAUUUCUGCUCAGACUCAAUCAAAGGUUCAGAGGCAGCUUUUGGGUUGUGCUGGUUUCCAUGCCCAAGAUCUUGCUUCUCCCUCGUGCUGUGCAGGGCGCUGCAUGCCCGUUAGCUGCACAUUGGAGAUCCUGGCUCCCUGGCAGGCAGCUGGCAUAGCUUGUGGUGCUGUGGGAUCCCUCGGGAUAAGUAGAGAUCUAUAAAUGUAUAAUGUGAUUACUGCAGCAUUAUUUUAAAGGUCAGCCUCCCGUAUUUGCACAAGCGUUGAUGAGAGUGACUGUCUGCCACAGAUGAUUUGUGUGGACCAGGAUUGUGUCCAGGUAUUAAUAGUGCUGAU